GACGAACGCUGGCGGCGUGCUUAACACAUGCAAGUCGAACGGAAAGGCCCUGCUUUUGUGGGGUGCUCGAGUGGCGAACGGGUGAGUAACACGUGAGUAACCUGCCCUUGACUUUGGGAUAACUUCAGGAAACUGGGGCUAAUACCGGAUAGGAGCUCCUGCUGCAUGGUGGGGGUUGGAAAGUUUCGGCGGUUGGGGAUGGACUCGCGGCUUAUCAGCUUGUUGGUGGGGUAGUGGCUUACCAAGGCUUUGCCGGGUAGCCGGCCUGAGAGGGUGACCGGCCACAUUGGGACGGAGAUACGGCCCAGACUCCUACGGGAGGCAGCAGUGGGGAAUAUUGCACAAUGGGCGGAAGCCUGAUGCAGCAACGCCGCGUGCGGGAUGACGGCCUUCGGGUUGUAAACCGCUUUCGCCUGUGACGAAGCGUGAGUGACGGUAAUGGGUAAAGAAGCACCGGCUAACUACGUG
This 468-nucleotide ribosomal RNA is filed under the name uncultured bacterium. Its description in RNAcentral is "partial 16S ribosomal RNA". It matches the Rfam family "Bacterial small subunit ribosomal RNA", at positions 28 to 507 of the family's 1533-position model. The record is from RNAcentral.